UUGCUUUCGCAGCACAUACACUAAAAUUGGAACGAUACAGAGAAGAAUGGCCCCUGCGCGAGGACGACACACAAAUUUGUGAAGCAUUCCAUAUUUUU
This is a small nuclear RNA of Tursiops truncatus (common bottlenose dolphin), 98 nucleotides long. Lineage: Eukaryota; Metazoa; Chordata; Mammalia; Artiodactyla; Delphinidae. The record is from Ensembl.